This 1658-nucleotide long non-coding RNA is filed under the name Marmota monax (woodchuck). The record is from RNAcentral. Lineage: Eukaryota; Metazoa; Chordata; Mammalia; Rodentia; Sciuridae.
UGACAUCAAUCCGGCACUAAGUUCCAUUCUAGUCCUUCACCUUUUCUAAUUUGCAACUUCUUUUUUUUUGCCUUUGAGGGGCCUCUCUCUAGCUAAAAUAUAUUUGAUCAUUUAUUCAACCUCAGGAUAUUAAUAAAAUAGUUUCAGAUCUAUUAACUCAAACCCCUCUGGAAAAAAACAGAUUUACCAACUAGAGUAUUAUGUUUCUCUAUAGUCUUUAGUCCUUCUUCUUUAGAUAUCUAGUCAAACACUUUAUUUAGAUCACUGACUCUUUUCCAGUUCCUUCUGUGAGAGUAUAUGCUAUGUAAUUGUUUUUUUCAUAAGUUAAAUUCAUCUACCAUGAUCUGGGAUCUACUUUUCCUCUUCACCCUCUUGAUGGGUUUUCUGAAAAACAAAGAAAACAACAACAACAACAACAAACCCAAACAAGUAAGCAAAGCUAAUAUAGUAAAGUUCAUUCCUUUUGGUGAAUGGCUCAGUGGGUGUGGACUAAUGUCUAGAUCCAUGUAUCUCUCACCACAGUUGCACACAAAUUUUCCUCUGCUGCCUCUUUUAUAAACAAUUGCCCCUCUCAACAUGUAACCAAUGGAAGCCAGUAUUCUAUUUUCUUUCAAGUUUUCCUAUUCCCAGAACGUUAUAUAUAAUAUUCAAUGUGUAGCAUUUUGAGUUCACCAUCUUUCUUCUUCUGUGUGUGUGUGUGUGUUGGGGGGAGGGGGUUGUUGUUGCUGGGAAUCCAGCCUGGGCCCUUGUGUGUGCUUGGCACGUACUCUAUCACUGAGCUACAUCCACAGCCCAGAGUCUAGUUACUUCCACUUAGUAAAAUACAUUUAAGUUUCAUCCCUGUUGUUUGUGUAUUCCUACUUAUUGUUGUAUAGUAUUUCAUUGUGAGAAUGAAACACACCUUGUUUUUGUAUUUGCUGUUCAUUGGAAAUCUAGAUUGUUUUCAAGUUUUGAUGACUGUGAAUAAAGCUGCUGUAAAAUCUUAUAUACCUGCUCUUACAGGACUAUAAGUUUUCAUAUCUUUUGGGUUGAUAGCCAGAAGUGGGAUUGAUGGAUCUUAUGGCAGGUACAUGUUUAAUUUUGUAGAAACUGCCAAACUGUUUUCCAAAGAAAUUAUAAAAUUUUGCAUUCCCACUAGCUAUGUAUUAGAGUUCCAGGUGGUUUAUAUCCUUGUCAACACUUGCCAUGGCCAUUUUUAAGUUAUCCAUUAAAAUGGGUAUGUAGUAGUAUCACCUGAUGGUCUUCAUUUGCAUUUCCCUGUGAUAAAUCACAUUUGCCAUCCACAUUAUCUUCUUUGGUUAAAUGCUGUUCAGACAGCUUAUCCAUUUUUACAUUUGGUUGCUUGACUUCUUAUUGCCAAGUUCUGAGAGUUCUUUAUGUGUCCUGGUUAGAAAUUGUUGGUCAAAAGUGUGAUUUGGAAAUAUUUCUCUAACUUAUGGCUCUGUCCUUUACAAAACAAAAUUUUUUUAUAUUUGAGAUAUGAUUUAUUAUGCUUUUGAUGAUGUAAAUUUUUUUGUCUAAUACAAAUUCACACACAUUUUUUUCCUAUGUUUCCUUAAAGUUUUAUAGUUCAUAGAUAUAUAUUUAGAGUUAAUUUUUGUAUAAGAGGUGAGGUAUAUGGUAAGGACUUUUUUUUCUUGCAUAUUUGCAACUUUUCC